Molecule: ribosomal RNA, 763 nt
Filed under: uncultured bacterium
Lineage: Bacteria
Description: bacterial SSU rRNA
Rfam family: Bacterial small subunit ribosomal RNA
Source: RNAcentral
GCCGACUGGUCGGGGACAGAUUAACAGGAUUAGAUACCCUGGUAGUCCACGCCGUAAACGAUGGGCACUAGGUGCCGGGGGGAACGACCCCUUCGGUGCCGCAGCUAACGCGUUAAGUGCCCCGCCUGGGGAGUACGGCCGCAAGGCUGAAACUCAAAGGAAUUGACGGGGGCCCGCACAAGCGGUGGAGCACGUGGUUUAAUUCGAAGCAACGCGAAGAACCUUACCUGGGUUUGACAUGCUGGUGAAAGCCCGGUGAAAGCCGGGCCCUCCUUCGGGACACCAGCACAGGUGCUGCAUGGCUGUCGUCAGCUCGUGUCGUGAGAUGUUGGGUUAAGUCCCGCAACGAGCGCAACCCUUGCCCCGUGUUACUAACAGGUAAAGCUGAGGACUCUCGGGGGACUGCCGGCGUCAAGCCGGAGGAAGGUGGGGACGACGUCAAGUCAUCAUGGCCCUUACGCCCAGGGCUACACACGUGCUACAAUGGCCAGGACAGAGGGCUGCAAGACGGCAACGUGGAGCGAAUCCCAUAAACCUGGUCUAAGUUCGGAUUGCGGGCUGCAACUCGCCCGCAUGAAGCCGGAAUCGCUAGUAAUCGCGGAUCAGCUACGCCGCGGUGAAUACGUUCCCGGGCCUUGUACACACCGCCCGUCACGCCAUGGAAGCCGGGAGUGCCCGAAGUCCGUGUCCUAACCCGCAAGGGAGGGAGCGGCCGAAGGCAAGCUCGGUGACUGGGGCGAAGUCGUAACAAGGUAAUCAAUCU